CAGAAAAAAGUUGUUUCACAAAAUUGUCAGGGGAGACUAGCGAUUCUAUAGAGCCAUCGAUCAUUCGGAUCGGAUGUGGCUUGAAUCUCAGUUGUUCGAUACCUUGGCAAAUUCAUUCUUAAAAUAUGGAAGCAUGAGAAAAAUCAGUUCAAAUCAAA
Bradysia coprophila is the source of this 158-nucleotide long non-coding RNA. The record is from RefSeq and is a predicted model, not a curated record. Lineage: Eukaryota; Metazoa; Arthropoda; Insecta; Diptera; Sciaridae.